GUGAGGAAUAUUGGUCAAUGGGCGGGAGCCUGAACCAGCCAAGUCGCGUGAAGGAAGAAGGAUCUAUGGUUCGUAAACUUCUUUUGCAGGGGAAUAAAGUGCAGGACGUGUCCUGUUUUGUAUGUACCCUGAGAAUAAGGAUCGGCUAACUCCGUGCCAGCAGCCGCGGUAAUACGGAGGAUCCGAGCGUUAUCCGGAUUUAUUGGGUUUAAAGGGUGCGUAGGUGGUUUGAUAAGUCAGCGGUGAAAGUUUGCAGCUUAACUGUAAAAAUGCCGUUGAAAAUGUCGGACUUGAGUGUAAAUGAGGUAGGCGGAAUGCGUGGUGUAGCGGUGAAAUGCAUAGAUAUCACGCAGAACUCCGAUUGCGAAGGCAGCUUACUAAGCUACAACUGACACUGAAGCACGAAAGCGUGGGGAUCAAACAGGAUUAGAAACCCUAGUAGUCC
RNAcentral lists this ribosomal RNA (445 nucleotides) under uncultured bacterium. RNAcentral's name for it is "partial 16S ribosomal RNA". It matches the Rfam family "Bacterial small subunit ribosomal RNA", at positions 354 to 796 of the family's 1533-position model. The record is from RNAcentral.